RNAcentral lists this unclassified non-coding RNA (1107 nucleotides) under Hevea brasiliensis (rubber tree). Lineage: Eukaryota; Viridiplantae; Streptophyta; Magnoliopsida; Malpighiales; Euphorbiaceae. The record is from RNAcentral.
GCCAAGGUGAGCUCUUUCCCCAUGAUCUUAUAUAGCACAAAAUUAGUCUCAAAUUUGCCUCUACUAAUCCCACAAGCAAGAAAUUCCCAUAAUCCCAUUGUUCAUGAAAAAAAUCUAUACAAAAGAAGAACCUCUGUUGUCAAAUUUGAGUCCCAAUUCUUGCACCAGCCUUUGGUUUCAAGAAGGUUUUCUUCAAGGCACAAAGGCUUCAAUGCUAAAAGCAACUUGGAGUCAGGAGAGGAAGAUAAGCUAGCUCUGGAAACAGUCCUCAAGCUUUACACUGCAAUCAAAAACAAAAAUAUCCAUGAAUUAUCCGAUAUAGUUGGUGAUGAAUGCAGAUGUGUUUGCAAUUUCUUCUCAUUUUUCCAAUCCUUCAAUGGAAAACAGCAAGUGUUGGACUUCUUCAAUUAUGUGAUAAGAAUCUUGGGAAAUAACAUUGAAUUUGCAGUGCAACCAACGUUACAUAACGGGAUGAAUGUUGGUGUUUCAUGGAAACUACGUAUAUACUCUGCCUUCACUUGCUUAAUUAGAAUACUUCAUUUUAAGUUCUUGGCAAGUUAUUCAAGUUAAUUACGAUCUUUUCUCUUGUUUUUCUUGGUUGAUUUAUUUGCAGAAUGGACCAAGACCCAUAUGCCUUUGGGAAAGGGAUUUAGUUUCUACAUUUGCCAAAUUUACCAGGGGAAGGUGUUAAUAAGGAAUGUAGAGAUGUUCAUGGAACCUCUCCUUCACAUUGAGCCUUUUAGACUGAAAAUAAUGGGAUAUGUGAUGAACACAGUGGAGAAGAUGAGCUACUAUAACCUGUCCAAAGAUCAGAUGAAGAAAGCCAUCCUCAUUCUAUUUUUGAUGGUCAUCAUUUUGCUCUUUCUGAAGCCAGGGUUUUAUUAGGUCAUACAAUUGAAGUUUCUCGUGUAUGAAAAACCUUGCCUAGAUCAAGUGUCAUUGGCUCGGUCUAUUAGACCAAAUCUAGAUAAGGAAAAACCCAAACGUAUAUUAACACAUUAUCCAAGUCAGCUUUGGGCUUCAUCAACAUUUCUCACAGUCCACCUUCAAUCAGGGGAUUUGUAAUCUUGCGAACUAUUGCCUUCCCAUGCACAACAAUAAUUACGC